Molecule: long non-coding RNA, 1105 nt
Organism: Zingiber officinale
Lineage: Eukaryota; Viridiplantae; Streptophyta; Magnoliopsida; Zingiberales; Zingiberaceae
Exons: 2
Source: RefSeq, a predicted model, not a curated record
CCUCUCCUCUGCGCCGAUGUCUCUUUUCUUCACCCGAUCGUUUCUUCUCCCCACCCAUCUCCUCUCUUCUCAUCGCCACCCAACGACACCGAUCAUCCUCCUCGCACUGUCGUCCACCACCAUGGCUUGACACCGGACGCUGACCGCUGCACACUGCUGCUCUCCCAAUCUCCCUUCUCCUUUCUUCCUCUCUGCUCCUCAUCACCUCCGCGAGGCUUUCUUUGAUCUCGUCGGCGUCGAGCUCUUUUCAACCUAGCCGCUGGUUGUGGGAGAGCACGCCACUGCCUCUCCUACCUCCCGAAUACGUUGAGGCAUUGUUUCACCGCGCAAUCAACCAGAUCCUCUCUGCCCUAGAUGCGGUCAGCAUCAUUGCGCCAUCGUCGUCACUAGGGUUAAGCCGCUGGGCUCCCCUCAGCCUUGAUCUUGCUCCACCUUUCUACCCCUCUCGUGCUCUAUCUGCGCUACUUUGAUCACCACUGUGUGUUUUCAUCUUCGACGCCAUCCCCUCCAGCGUGCGCAGUUGACAGCCAGGGUCAGCCACUGCCAACGUUGAGCCCUUCUCCUUGCGAGCAACCACCUUGCUCUUUUCUCCACCCACGAGAGGUUGUGGGUUGCAGAUCUGAUCUGUAGCAUUUCAGAAUUUGUUGAGUUUCAGCUAGCAAGCAUUGAUUUGUGGUAUUUGUGAUAGAGGCAGCAACUACACUCGACUUCCACUGUAAUUCUUGGCAUCCAACAUCUUCGGCUUUGGAUCAACAAUGAUGCAUCCAAAUUUAAGUGAGUUUUGAGGUUAGCGCAUAGAUAUGUUGUGUUGCUUGGAGUAUCCUGUCUGUCGGUCACACGUCACAUCCGAAGACUGUUUUCAGUUUCAUUUAUGUUUUGUCUAGUUUAUGUAUUUGGUGGAUUUAUCAUUGUAUAUUCCGGUUUUGGUUCUGGAGUGUUGCUACGUGGUAUCGGAUAUUGUUUUGUUGUGUUGUAUAAGCCUAGCCGACUAGUAGUCUUUGUUGUUUUGGUUUGUAUAGGCUAUCUUUCGUUUUAGUUUUUCCACUGUGUGUUUUGAGUACAGCCGAGUGGGUUGUUUAAUAUAUAUAACUGCAUGGUUGUGAUA